This 407-nucleotide ribosomal RNA is filed under the name uncultured Micromonospora sp. RNAcentral describes it as "bacterial SSU rRNA". It matches the Rfam family "Bacterial small subunit ribosomal RNA", at positions 355 to 774 of the family's 1533-position model. The record is from RNAcentral. Lineage: Bacteria; Bacillati; Actinomycetota; Actinomycetes; Micromonosporales; Micromonosporaceae.
UGGGGAAUAUUGCACAAUGGGCGGAAGCCUGAUGCAGCGACGCCGCGUGAGGGAUGACGGCCUUCGGGUUGUAAACCUCUUUCAGCAGGGACGAAGCGAAAGUGACGGUACCUGCAGAAGAAGCGCCGGCCAACUACGUGCCAGCAGCCGCGGUAAGACGUAGGGCGCGAGCGUUGUCCGGAUUUAUUGGGCGUAAAGAGCUCGUAGGCGGCUUGUCGCGUCGACCGUGAAAACUUGGGGCUCAACCCCAAGCCUGCGGUCGAUACGGGCAGGCUAGAGUUCGGUAGGGGAGACUGGAAUUCCUGGUGUAGCGGUGAAAUGCGCAGAUAUCAGGAGGAACACCGGUGGCGAAGGCGGGUCUCUGGGCCGAUACUGACGCUGAGGAGCGAAAGCGUGGGGAGCGAACA